Molecule: long non-coding RNA, 252 nt
Filed under: Panax ginseng (ginseng)
Lineage: Eukaryota; Viridiplantae; Streptophyta; Magnoliopsida; Apiales; Araliaceae
Description: long non-coding RNA (PGIN_LNC008453)
Source: RNAcentral
UUUGGGUAGGAACGGUAGAAACGUUCAUGAAGAACGGAUUAAAACUUAGCUAUAACGAAGUUAUGGAGAAAUUUCGUAAAAGAGGAACGAGAAUUAGAAAGUUAUUAAAUGAACCCGAACGUGUAGGGUUUCAUAAGAAAGUAAUAAAACGUAGAAAACGUGAGUCAUAGACUCAAGAACGAACAAGUUCCGAGUUCGAAUGAUCGAAUUACGAACGAACAAACGAAGAGCGUUAAAAACGUAAAAAUGAAC